This 325-nucleotide ribosomal RNA is filed under the name Colletotrichum fructicola. RNAcentral describes it as "partial large subunit ribosomal RNA". It matches the Rfam family "Eukaryotic large subunit ribosomal RNA", at positions 323 to 667 of the family's 3401-position model. Lineage: Eukaryota; Fungi; Ascomycota; Sordariomycetes; Glomerellales; Glomerellaceae. The record is from RNAcentral.
CCGGCCAGAGACCGAUAGCGCACAAGUAGAGUGAUCGAAAGAUGAAAAGCACUUUGAAAAGAGGGUUAAACAGCACGUGAAAUUGUUAAAAGGGAAGCGCUUGUGACCAGACUUGCGUCCGGUGAAUCACCCAGCUCUCGCGGCUGGGGCACUUCGCCGGCUCAGGCCAGCAUCAGCUCGCUGUCGGGGACAAAAGCUUCAGGAACGUAGCUCUCUUCGGGGAGUGUUAUAGCCUGUUGCACAAUACCCUUCGGCGGGCUGAGGUACGCGCUCCGCAAGGAUGCUGGCAUAAUGGUCAUCAGCGACCCGUCUUGAAACACGGACC